RNAcentral lists this long non-coding RNA (1809 nucleotides) under Cairina moschata (Muscovy duck). RNAcentral describes it as "domestica (muscovy Duck (domestic type)) lncRNA (ENSCMMG00000000779.1)". The record is from RNAcentral. Lineage: Eukaryota; Metazoa; Chordata; Aves; Anseriformes; Anatidae.
AUGCCUUCUUCCAACCCCGCAGCACCUUUUGGGUGUCAAAAGCUGUGUAUUGGCCAAACCCCAGCACCCCUCCACGGCUCAGCAUCACCCCCCCGGGCACACCCUGCACCCCCGGGGCCGGUCCCAAGGCUUGGGGGGGGAAUACAAAAAGCCCCCCAAUACCUCCCCAGUCCAACCAGUCCAACCCUUUACCUGCUGCCACUGGGAAAUCCUCCGUGUCGCCAAGGUGGGGUGGGAUGGGGGGGAACACGGCCCCUGCCAGCGAUGCCCCCCCGCUGUCCCCUUGCAGCGCGGGGGCUGGGGACAGCGCAGGGUUGGCAGGAGAGGGGUGGCACCGUCUUGUCCCUGUCCCUGUCCCCGUCCCUGUCCCUGUCCCCGUCCCCGCAGCCCGGCGCGGCUCGGCUCGGCUCCGCCGCCCGCUCCCGGGAGCGGGGCGGGGGCUGGGGGCGGGCGAGCUCCGCCCCGGACAGCGGCAGGAGGAGGAAGAAGAGGAGGAGGAGGAGGAGGAGGAGGAAGGCUGCGCCCGAAAGCUGCCAGCCCCUUCUUAGGAGGGGUGCCCCUAUGGGGAUGCGGCCGGCUGCAAGCAUCGGGGUACCCACAGGGAACCCCCCAAGGAACACUUGCUGAGUGAAAUACCUCCGAAAAGAACCGCAGUUUGCACAUUUUCAGGAUUUUUUCUCCAACGUUGCCAGUUGAACCCGACGCGGACGCCGGGGAGCACGCUGGGCUGGGCAAGGCUCCCUUUUCUGAGCAGCUGUGAAGGGAGGAAUGAAGAGCAACAAGCCCGGCCUCCCCCCAGCAAGCAUGUCCAAUGUCCAAACCUUCGUGGACUGACCAAGGGAAGGAAAUUUUUUAUUGAUUUUCGACCUCUUCUAGGAAAAGAAAUGCAGUUUUGGAGUGGGAAAAUGUUUUCUGGUUUGAAUGUUCCCGAUCCCGUUUAGAGCCUGGAGUGCUGGGAGUAUUUUAAAUAUCUCUUUUCGGCAUGGCUGGGACUCUGCUGUGCUCAUUCCUCACCGUGUAACCCCAGCGAUGCUCAUUUCAGCAUGUUUUACCUAUAAAACCUCAUUAAAGCCCUCUUGCUCCCCCAGUGCUGCAUUAAGACCUGGCGAGGCCCCGAUGCUCGGAGCCAGGGGCAAGUUUCAGUGGGCACAUUUCUCACCUCAUCCAUAAGAGUUUUGUUAUGUGCUUAUGGAAAAGGAUCAUUUUUUGUGCCUGAUCCCUUCCUAGUAAGUCGGAGUAUUUUUGGAUGUUGGGUUUUUUUUUGUGUUUGAUGCAGUGUUCAGAGGUGGGAAAGUGACCACAGGAAGGUUUGGGGAACGAGACCAGCACCAGAAAACAUAGAAAUAGGAGAGCAUCACCUUAAAAUGAAGUGGCUGCCGCUUACCAUUUGGGGGACAAGACCCCCAAAACAGCCACAUGUAUGUGCCAUGUGCAGUCUGUACCCUGCUGCUGUUGGAUUCCUCCAGUCAGAUUUGGGGACAGAGCAAGGAACACCUCAGAAAUUCAUGAUGGCACCGAUGUCCUGUUGGGAUGGAGACCUAAUUGUCCCUGUCGGGAUGAUGGUGACCCCAAUGUCCCAUUGGGAUGGAGGCCCCAAAUGUCCUGUUGGGAUAGAGACCCCUAUGUCCUGUUGGAUUGGAGACCCCAAAUAUCCCAUUGGGAUGGAGACCCCAAUGUCCCAUUGGAUUGGAGACCCCAAACGUCCCGUUGGGAUGGAGACCAUUGAGCAAGGGCUGGAUGUUAGCGCUGCCAUCUCCAUUUUGCAGAAUUAAAAAACGAGGCAUGAAAGAAGCAAGGCCAAGCUCAUCC